AGGGUUUGAUCAUGGCCCAGAACGAACGCUGGCGGCGUGGUUAAGACAUGCAAGUCGAACGCUUAUUUCAUUGUAGCAAUACAGUGAAGUAGGAGUGGCGCAAGGGUGCGUAACACGUGGGUAAUUUGCCGUAGAGUUGGGGAUAACUUGCUGAAAGGCGAGCUAAUACCGGAUGUGGUUUUUGGGAGGCAUCUCCUUGAGACUAAAGUUGGGGACCGCAAGGCCUGACGCUCUAUGAUAAGCCCGCGGCCUAUCAGCUAGUUGGUGAGGUAACGGCUCACCAAGGCUAAGACGGGUAGCUGGUCUGAGAGGACGACCAGCCACACUGGAACUGAGACACGGUCCAGACACCUACGGGUGGCAGCAGUCGAGAAUUUUUCUCAAUGGGCGAAAGCCUGAAGGAGCGACGCCGCGUGGGGGAUGAAGGGUUUCGAUCCGUAAACCCCUGUCAUUUGUGAACAAUGUUUAUUCGUGAAUAACGGAUGAAUUGAUAGUAACGAAAGAGGAAGGGACGGCUAACUCUGUGCCAGCAGCCGCGGUAAUACAGAGGUCCCAAGCGUUGUUCGGAUUCACUGGGCGUAAAGGGUGCGUAGGUGGCGGGGUAAGUUUGAUGUGAAAUCUCCGAGCUUAACUCGGAAAUGGCAUUGAAUACUAUUCUGCUCGAGGUUUGGAGGGGGGACUGGAAUUCUCGGUGUAGCAGUGAAAUGCGUAGAUAUCGAGAGGAACACCAGUGGCGAAGGCGAAUCCCUGGACAACACCUGACACUGAGGCACGAAAGCUAGGGGAGCAAACAGGAUUAGAUACCCUGGUAGUCCUAGCCCUAAACGGUGCACGUUUGCUGUAAGAGGAAUCGACCCCUUUUGUGGUGAAGCUAACGCGUUAAACGUGCCGCCUGGGGAGUACGGUCGCAAGAUUAAAACUCAAAGAAAUUGACGGGGGCCUGCACAAGCGGUG
This 954-nucleotide ribosomal RNA is filed under the name uncultured Verrucomicrobiota bacterium. Its description in RNAcentral is "bacterial SSU rRNA". It matches the Rfam family "Bacterial small subunit ribosomal RNA", at positions 8 to 934 of the family's 1533-position model. Lineage: Bacteria; Pseudomonadati; Verrucomicrobiota. The record is from RNAcentral.